Odocoileus virginianus texanus is the source of this 1728-nucleotide non-coding RNA. The record is from RefSeq and is a predicted model, not a curated record. Lineage: Eukaryota; Metazoa; Chordata; Mammalia; Artiodactyla; Cervidae.
AUGGGUCGGCAGCCGCCGCUGCCCCCCGCCGCGGCCGCCCUGUUCUGGGGCUUCCUGCUCCCUCUGACAGCUGCUCAUGAAGCAAUCCUCCAUGCCUCUGGAAAUGGCACGCCUUCACUAUCUAAGGACUACUGCAUGCUAUGUAACCCUCACUGGACAUCUCUUCCAAGUACCCUAGAAAAUGCAACUUCCACUAGUUUGAUGAAUCUGACUACCACACCACUCUGCACCAUUUCUGAUAUUCCUCCAGAUGGAAUAAAGAACAAAGCAGUUGUGGUACAGUGGGGAACCUGCCGUUUUCUGGAAAAAGCCAAAAUUGCACGAACAGGAGGUGCUGAAGCUUUGUUGGUUGCCAACAACAGUGUCCCAUUUCCUCCCUCAGGGAACAAAUCUGAGUAUCCUGAUGUGAAAAUAUUGACUGCAUUUAUAAACCAUAAGGACUUUAAAGGUACGAAGCAGACUCUGGGAGAUAACACUGUUGUGAACAUGCGUUCUCCAUCCGGCCUAACGCUGACUAUACCAUGGUGGUUACUUCUGUAACUGUUGUGCUCACCGUGGGAUUAGGACAAUACUGGAGCGGGCUCAUCGAAUUGGAAAACAUGAAGGCAAUGACAAACACUGAGGAUAGAGAAGUGAGGAAAACGAAGGAAGAAUAUUUUACUUUUAGUCCUCUAACAGUUAUAAUAUUUGUGGUCAUCUGCUGUAUUAUGAUGGUCUUACUUUAUUUCUUCUACAAAUGGUUGGUUUAUGUUAUGACAGCAAUUUUCUGCAUAGCAUCAGCGAUGAGUCUGUACAACUGUCUUGCUGCACUAGUUCGUAAGAUACAAUGGGGACGAUGCACAAUUACCUGUUGUGCAAGAGCUUUGAAGUGAGAAUUUUCUCUCUGGACUGUGCAUAGCAGUAGUUGUUGUUUGGGCUGUAUUUCGAAAUGAAGAUAGGUGGGCUUGGAUUUUACAGGAUAUCUUGGGGAUUGUUUUCUGUCUGAAUUUAAUUAAAACACUGAAGUUACCCAACUUCAAGUCAAGUGUGAUACUUCUGGGCCUUCUCCUCUAUGAUGUAUUUUUUGUUUUCGUAACACCAUUCAUCACAAAGAAUGGUGAGAGUAUCAUGGUUGAACUUGCAGCUGGACCUUUUGGAAAUAAUGAAAAGUUACCAGUAGUCAUCAGGGUACCAAAACUGGCCUAUUUCUCAGUAAUGAGUGUGUGUCUCAUGCCAGUUUCAAUACUGGGUUUUGGAGACAUCAUUGUACCAGGCCUGUUGAUUGCAUACUGUAGAAGAUUUGAUGUUGACAUUGGUUCUUCAAUAUACUAUGUUUCCUCCACAAUUGCCUAUGCCAUUGGCAUGAUUCUUACAUUUGUUGUUCUGGUGCUGAUGAAAAAGGGGAAACCUGCUCUCCUAUAUUUAGUACCUUGCACACUUAUUACUGCCUCAUUUGUUGCCUGGAGACGAAAGGAAAUGAAGAAGUUCUGGAAAGGUAACAGCUAUCAGAUGAUGGACCAUCUGGACUCUGCAACAAAUGAAGAAAACCCUGGGACUGUUGGUGAACAGAGGUCCAACAAUAAUAUUAUGUGGACGUGCAAUAAUGUGUCGAUUGAUUUUCUACAAAUAGAGUUUGACUUUUUAAAUUGACUUUUGAAUUGACAAUCUGAAAGAAACUUCAAAGAUAUGCUUGCAAAUAUGUAUCUGUAAGAGCUGGUACUGACAAUUACAUGAUAAAUAAUUAAAAUA